UCCAUCACAGGGCUUGUACGUGUGGUC
RNAcentral lists this non-coding RNA (27 nucleotides) under Mus musculus (house mouse). The record is from RNAcentral. Lineage: Eukaryota; Metazoa; Chordata; Mammalia; Rodentia; Muridae.